Molecule: ribosomal RNA, 305 nt
Filed under: uncultured bacterium
Lineage: Bacteria
Description: bacterial SSU rRNA
Rfam family: Bacterial small subunit ribosomal RNA
Source: RNAcentral
ACCUACGGGGGGCAGCAGUAGGGAAUUUUCGUCAAUGGGCGCAAGCCUGAACGAGCAAUGCCGCGUGAACGAGGAAGGUCUUCGGAUCGUAAGGUUCUGUUGAAGGGGAAAAGAGCGGAGAGAGGAAAUGGUCUCCGAUUGAUAUUACCCUUCGAGGAAGUCACGGCUAACUACGUGCCAGCAGCCGCGGUAAUACGUAGGUGGCGAGCGUUAUCCGGAAUGAUUGGGCGUAAAGGGUGCGUAGGCGGCCUGCUAAGUCUGGAGUGAAAGGUACCGGCUCAACCGGUACAGGCUCUGGAAACUGG